GCUUCAUCAAAACAUUUCCUUUCCAGGUUGAAAAGCAUGUUACAAACAGCUACACCUUGAUUUGGGGGAAUGACUUUCAUCCUGGCCCAGUCCCUGAUUUAUUUGGGGCUGAGACAUUGGAUUUUUUUUUAUCAAUUUUGAAGUCCUGAUUCAUCUCAGCAGUGCCUCCAUCUCUAACCCUUUUUUGCACUGCUCUGGGCAACAAGCCAUAGUUAGCA
This is a non-coding RNA of Pelobates cultripes (western spadefoot toad), 218 nucleotides long. The record is from the annotation of a GenBank genome assembly. NCBI's taxonomy places the organism in Eukaryota, Metazoa, Chordata, Amphibia, Anura, Pelobatidae.